AUUGAACGCUGGCGGCAGGCCUAACACAUGCAAGUGCGCGGAUGAAGGGAGCUUGCUCCUGGAUUCAGCGGCGGACGGGUGAGUAAUGCCUAGGAAUCUGCCUGGUAGUGGGGGAUAACGUCCGGAAACGGGCGCUAAUACCGCAUACGUCCUGAGGGAGAAAGUGGGGGAUCUUCGGACCUCACGCUAUCAGAUGAGCCUAGGUCGGAUUAGCUAGUUGGUGGGGUAAAGGCCUACCAAGGCGACGAUCCGUAACUGGUCUGAGAGGAUGAUCAGUCACACUGGAACUGAGACACGGUCCAGACUCCUACGGGAGGCAGCAGUGGGGAAUAUUGGACAAUGGGCGAAAGCCUGAUCCAGCCAUGCCGCGUGUGUGAAGAAGGUCUUCGGAUUGUAAAGCACUUUAAGUUGGGAGGAAGGGCAGUAAGUUAAUACCUUGCUGUUUUGACGUUACCAACAGAAUAAGCACCGGCUAACUUCGUG
RNAcentral lists this ribosomal RNA (483 nucleotides) under uncultured bacterium. RNAcentral describes it as "partial 16S ribosomal RNA". It matches the Rfam family "Bacterial small subunit ribosomal RNA", at positions 30 to 507 of the family's 1533-position model. The record is from RNAcentral.